Lates calcarifer (barramundi perch) is the source of this 321-nucleotide long non-coding RNA. RefSeq lists it as uncharacterized. The transcript is spliced from 2 exons. The record is from RefSeq and is a predicted model, not a curated record. Lineage: Eukaryota; Metazoa; Chordata; Actinopteri; Centropomidae.
GUACCUGGUACCCAGAACCUCUUUUGGUAUCACCUCCAUCGAAGUUCCAAGUGAGCUGAGACAAUACUAAAAAGAAUACCAGAUACCAGGUGCUAUCCACAACUUUUGCCACAUGGAAAACCAAAACAGAUGAAUGAUGUGAUCUGAUACACUCUUUACGCACAAGAAUGGGUUCACCCCCAGGCAAACCUUUGUGCUGUUUGUGGUCCCUGCCAGCAGUGAAGGAACAGUAGCUAACUGCAGCCUCUGCUACAAAUGGGGGAGGAGGAAGGUGGGGUGUCUCUGCUGUCCUCUGGCUGCCCCCCACCUUGACCACACUGG